This is a long non-coding RNA of Tachysurus fulvidraco (yellow catfish), 3686 nucleotides long. RefSeq lists it as uncharacterized. The transcript is spliced from 2 exons. NCBI's taxonomy places the organism in Eukaryota, Metazoa, Chordata, Actinopteri, Siluriformes, Bagridae. The record is from RefSeq and is a predicted model, not a curated record.
ACUACUUCUACUUUUACUGGAGUCUUUUCAAAAAUGAGUAUCUGUACUUCUACUUGAGUAAAGGAUGUGUGUACUUUUGCCACCUCUGUUGAUCAGACCCAUUUAGAAUGGAUUUUUUAAAAAUUCAUCUAACCCUUAUUAUUUUGUCCACAAUAAUGUAAAUGUUAAGAUCUCGUGUUCAUCGCACGUGCCAUCCAUCUUGCCAGUCUACACCAGGUAUUAUGAGAACAUACAGUAUAGAAAUCUUUUACAUUCUAGAAUUUAGAUUUAGAACUUACGUUCAUUCGUCACAAAUACGUGCGCACGUCGCGUUUGCCUGUUGCCGUGGUGACGCUAUGCUACGCUACGCUAAUUUAAUUCAUAAAUACUAAUUACGUUAUUAAUACAUAGUAUAUACAUAAUACCUAAUUACGGGAUAUGCUUGUGAAAGAACAUGACAUCAGUAGUCCUUUACAGGCAUUCUGUCACUAACACAAAAAUGAUCAGGGUGAUUAUUAUGAUGUCGCUUAUUGCGCAUGCUCAGAAGCGACGUUCAUUAUACACGGAAGUGUCGCGUUUGCUGGUUGCUAUGGCGACGCUUUGCCGCCAAAUUUAACCUACUAUUUAAUAACAUCGUUUCAUGUGGUUCAUUCCAUUUAGAAGUCAUCCAGAAAAUGAACAAAUGCAUUUUUGAUGUCUGAAGGUGUAAAGUAAGAAAUUAAAUACAUUCUAAGCAAAGAUGUGAGCUGUAGGUUUUUUAGUUACUUUGAUUAUAUUUGAAGUCAAAUGAAGGAUUCUGAUUUAGAUUAAGGAAUGAAACAAAAAUGAUGAUCUUAAAUGUUUAUAAUGACACAUUGCCUUUUGUUCAGUGAUUAGAGCCACAACUUUGAACAUGGCUAUAUGGCUGUGGUUAGAUUGUGAAUGUAUUUUAGAAAAUUCACAACAGAAAUUUCAUUCACUUCUGAACAACAUUAGCAUUUUAAUUAAAAUCAAAGGUAAUGAAGGUCACAGGAAGCUGAUUUGCAGUUCUGGACACCAGUUCUGGGAGAGAAGUUUUAUCUAGUCAUCAGAAUUGCACAAGUAAAGUAUCAUCUGGCCAACAAUGAACCCAGCAGGACCCCCGGAGCUACAGUCCCUCUUUGACACUGUCCUAAUCCUCUUCUGCACAUGCGUGCCAGCUCAAGGACAUUGCCUCAGCCACAAACAAACUAUUUCAUCUCAUGAGCAUAAUAAAAAAAGACAUGCACUGAAUAGGGACGGUAAAAGUGGGUGGGUCCAAUAUUAUUGGUCUUAAAAAGUGGGUGGGUCCUGUCCCACCCACAUAAAAUGGUUCCGACACCAAUGGGUCUCUAUACAAACACAAAACUGACUUAAACACAAAGUAAUUUUUAAACACUAUUUUAUUUAAGUCAGACCAGCACAAACUGAAUAUAUCACAAGAAUUUCUGAAAUGAAUAACAAUACAAACUGAAUAAUAUAUUCAGAAUAAAAAACUAAAAUGGCUUAUGUGUUAACUGAACAAGCAUUAAUUAUCUCCAAUGGAGCAGUUUGACAACAACAUUGGAAAAGAAAUAAUGACACAUUUGGAGCAGCAGUGAGGUGCACUGUCGGCGACUUCGGAUCAGCCAAUGUGAGCAAGAGAACUAAAGCAGAAAUCCAUUGCCAUUAUCUCUAGAAGAUUCCCAUUCUCUUAUUUCCUAGCAGGUAGUGUUGAGUGAGGUAUCAAAUGUCAUAUACAUGGUGUAUAUAUACUGUACGCUCUGAAAGUACCGGAACAGCAAAGCCAGUUAUUUUGUUUUUGGUGUACACUGAAAACAUUUUGGUUUGAGAAUUUUUAGCAUUCAUUUACUGAUAUUUACAUCUAGACGUGUUACUUGAAACAACAUUUCUCCAGGACCAUGAUGCUACAUAAAAUGACACAGCUUAGGACUUAAAGUAAGUUGUCCUAGCCACAUAAAAUGCAUUGUGUGCAACCUAGUGCAAACAGAAAAUACAAAACUGUACAGGACAAAUGCAUGAAAUAGUGCUGAUCAGUGUGCAUUUUGUAUAUUAGACAAUGUGCAAAUUUAAUUUGUUUUUUAAAGGAAGAAAAAACCCCAAGAAGAACAGAGAGCUGUCUACAGGAGAAAAGCGAGCCAUUUGGAUGCUGAAGAAAGAGAGAAAAUCAAUCAGGGCCAUUAAACAAACAUUGGGCAUAGCCAGUGUAAUGAUAUGGAAUGUCCUCAAUGAGUUAGAAACUAUAGAUGUACUAAUAACCAGACCAGACCUACUUACUUAUAGAUGUAUUACGAGAUGCUUGAGAUGAGCUAGGUUCCACUCUCAGGUAAUAUUGUUUUGGACGUUAGAGGUAUUAUCCUGUAAAGGCUUUUCUAUAAUCCACAAUUAUUCCCCCACAUGCCCCUUCCUUCAAACAGUAUUGCCACCCUAAAAGAAAUUGUUAAACUUUUUUUUAACAAUUUUUAACUUUUUUUUAAACAAACUUUCCAAUUUAUUUGGAAAAUAUGUCUGAUAAUGGUCACAUGAAGUCAUUAUUUAUUACAUAGACUUAUUGUUAUAAUUAUUUAUUACAUAGAAACCUAAUAAUAACUAAAAUCACCUUAACAACCUUGAUCCAGGUCCAUUGACCAUCCAGGUUCUUUUGUCUUUCCCAUGGUCAGACAAAAGAACCUGGAUGGUCAAUGGACCUGCAUAAUAAGGUAGUUGAACUUUAUAAAGCAGGAAAAAGAAUAUAAAUAGAUAUCUCAACACUUGAAAAUGCUAGUCAGUACUGUUCAAACUCUAAUAAUGAGGUGGAAAAUAAGAGGUUUUGUUGAUACUAAGCCACGGUCAGUUGGAUCAAGAAAGGUCUCACCCACUACUGCCAGAAGAAUUGUACUGGAUGCAAAGAAAAACCCACAAACAACUUAGAGAGAAAUAAAGACUGCUCUGGAAAAAAUGGUGGUGUUUAAAGGAGCACACUAAGGAUGUACUUGAACAUAAAUGACCUUCAUGGUUGAAUUGCCAGGAGAAAGCCAUUACUGUGCCUAUGCCGCAAAAAGUCGCACCUUCGGUACGCCAGACAGCACCUAGACAAGCCUCAAGCUUCUGGAGUCAUGUUGAGUGAUGAGACCAAAAUUAAACUUUAUAGUCACAACCAAAAUCAUGUUUGGAGAGGAGUGGACAAGGCCUAUGGCCUACGGCCUACGGUGAAACGUACACCAUCCCAACUGUAAAGCGUGGUGAUGGAUCGCUUAUGUUUUGGGGCUGUGUGAGCACCAGUGGCAUAGGGAGGUUAGUAAAAACUGAUGGCACGAUGAAUGCAGCAUGUUAUCAGAAAAUACUGGUAAACAAUUUGCAUUCUACAGGAAAGCUGCACAUGGGACACCCUUAAAUGUUCCAACAUGACAAUGAUCCAAAGCACAAGGCAAGGUUAACCCUCCAAUGGCUAGAAAAAGGUGAAGGUUCUGGAGUGGCCAUUACAACAACAAAAAAAAAAAUACAGGAACUGGAGGCAUUUUGCCAAGAAGGAUGGGCAGCUAUAACACCUGAGAGAAUUAAGGACCUCAUGCACAAUUACUACAAAGACUGCAUGCGAUCAUUGAUGCUAAAGGGUGCAAUAGACGAUAUUAAGAACUAAAAGUAUGCAAACUUUUUAACAGGGAUUAUUUCCUUAUUUUGUUUUUUGUUCUGUUUUGUUUGAUUGUGCUAUAAAAAAAUCAAUGAAAUUG